CGACCGACCUAUCCUCGAGGUAGGACCC
RNAcentral lists this small RNA (28 nucleotides) under Bombyx mori (domestic silkworm). Its description in RNAcentral is "ovarian small RNA-14178". The record is from RNAcentral. Lineage: Eukaryota; Metazoa; Arthropoda; Insecta; Lepidoptera; Bombycidae.